Trifolium pratense (red clover) is the source of this 1045-nucleotide long non-coding RNA. RefSeq lists it as uncharacterized. The transcript has 8 exons. The record is from RefSeq and is a predicted model, not a curated record. NCBI's taxonomy places the organism in Eukaryota, Viridiplantae, Streptophyta, Magnoliopsida, Fabales, Fabaceae.
UCUGAUACAAAAAAAUAAAACAAAUCAACGCAAUCUCUCUCUCGAUGAACAACCUUCAGCCAUGAACAAACCCUCGCAGUCGUCCACCACCACCAUCGAUUGAACCCUCAGCAACCUCAAAACAACUCACCACCACCGCCUUAUCACUCGCAGUCGUCCUCUGUCUCUCUCACUCGUCAAAUCGAAGCUUCUCACUUGAACCCUAACUCCAAAUCGAAGCCUCUCUCCGCUCUCACGAAUUGAAACAAAUUGAAACGAAUCGAAGCCUUUGCUCUCACGAAUCGAAGCUUGUCUUUCUCUUUCACUAUUGUCAAACCUUCAUCGAUUCAGUAUACACGAAUUGAAGCUCUCUCUCGUCACGAAUCGAAGCUCUCCGACUGAAAACGCAAACAGGAGUGGAGCCAAGGUUCCUGAAGUUAAUUGGUGUAAGUGUGGCGAAAGUGUUGCUAUGGAAGUAUCGAUGGGAAGUACAAAUGGAUUCUUAACUAAAAGAUUUGAAGAUGGAGCUGAGAAGUUUCUUGUUGAAGCAACCAAUCACCCAACUGGCCUAGAGACUGAUGAGGUGAAAAUGGGAAUUUUGAUGGGUACUGCUAACUUUACAAUAGGUGAGAACCAUUAUAAGGAAUAGCAUUAAGGAGACAUUGGAUCAAUAUGAUAUCUUGAUUUCCCCUGCACCUUCCUUCAGUUGCUUAUAAAAUUUGUGAAAAGAAAAAUGAUCCUUUGGCUAUGUAUGCUGGCGACAUCAUGACUGUGUUCAAUGAUCCCACGGCAUUAACAGAGGAUGAGCUGUAUGAUUUGCGAGACCGCUGGGCAACUUGUUUUCUUGAACUAUAUAAUCCCGAGGUAGAUUAUGAUGAUGCCGACGAGAAAGAUUAGGAGCUAGUUAGGUUUGUGUGAAGUUACAAUUGACUAGUUAUGAUGAUGUUUUAAUUUGUACUUUGGAUGGAUUAGUAUUAAUUAUUAUGAUGUUUUGUAUUUUGGAUUACAAUGUGGUUGUACUUUAAUGAUAUUAUUACUAUAUAUAUAUAUAUGUUGAAUUUGGCUA